This 327-nucleotide ribosomal RNA is filed under the name uncultured bacterium. Its description in RNAcentral is "bacterial SSU rRNA". It matches the Rfam family "Bacterial small subunit ribosomal RNA", at positions 30 to 355 of the family's 1533-position model. The record is from RNAcentral.
AGUUAACGCUGGCGGAAUGCUUUACACAUGCAAGUCGGGCGGCAGCGCGGGGGCAACCCUGGCGGCGAGCGGCGAACGGGUGAGUAAUACAUCGGAACGUGUCCUUGAGUGGGGGAUAGCUCGGCGAAAGCCGGAUUAAUACCGCAUAAGCUCUGAGGAGGAAAGCGGGGGACUGGUAACGGCCUCGCGCUGUUGGAGCGGCCGAUGUCGGAUUAGCUAGUUGGUGGGGUAAAGGCCCACCAAGGCGACGAUCCGUAGCUGGUCUGAGAGGAUGAUCAGCCACACUGGAACUGAGACACGGUCCAGACUCCUACGGGAGGCAGCAGU